GGCACUUAACGGUUUAGCUCCUGUGUACCUAACUAGUCUUCUACCACGCUACAAUCCAUCAUGCUCCCUAAGGUCUCAAAACUCUGGACUGUUGGUAGUUCCUAGGAUAGCAAAUCCACUAAAGGAGGUAGAGCUUUUUCACAUUUGGCACCCAAACUCUGGAACAGCCUUCCUGAUAACGUUCGGGGUUCAGACACACUCUCUCUGUUUAAAUCUAGAUUAAAGACACAUCUUUUUAGCCAAGCAUUCAAAUAAUGCAUCUCAUAAACUUUUUCUGCAGCUAUAUCUGAUCAAAUGUUCAUUUUAAUCUUUUAGCUCUGGUUUAACAAACCUUCCUUUUCUUAGUUUGAACAGCAGCUACGCUAAUUAUGUUCCUAUUUGUUCUCUGUUUUUGCCAUGGGAUUGACAUCCCAUGGUAACUAGGAAUUCACAAGCUCCAGUGUGGAUCCAGAACACUUAAGAAAAGAUGAUGCCAGCCCUUCAGAGGACUUCAGAUGAUGCCAACCCUGAUGCCAACCCUGAAAACAUACAGCACUACCAAAUUCUGCUACAAAUUUAUAGUGUUCUUUGUCUGUUUGAUUACGUCAUUAAUUGAUCUUUACCACACAUCUCUACCAUAUGUACAUCAAGCUACUACUACAUAUAUUGUAAAAAUGUCAAUUUGGUGUAAAGCUGCUUUGCAACGAUAUGUAUCGUGAAAAGCGCUAUACAAAUAAAUUUGAAUUGAAUUGAA
Molecule: long non-coding RNA, 733 nt
Organism: Labeo rohita (rohu)
Lineage: Eukaryota; Metazoa; Chordata; Actinopteri; Cypriniformes; Cyprinidae
Exons: 2
Source: RefSeq, a predicted model, not a curated record